GGAAUAUUGGACAAUGGGCGAAAGCCUGAUCCAGCCAUGCCGCGUGUGUGAAGAAGGUCUUCGGAUUGUAAAGCAUUUUAAGUUGGGAGGAAGGGCCGCAAGCUAAUACCUUGCUGUUUUGCCGUUACCGACAGACUAAGCACCGGCUAACCCUGUGCCAGCAGCCGCGGUAAUUCAGAGGGUGCAAGCGUUAAUCGGAAUUACUGGGCGUAAAGCGCGCGUAGGUGGUUUGUUAAGUUGGAUGUGAAAGCCCCGGGCUCAACCUGGGAACUGCAUCCAAAACUGGCAAGCUAGAGUACGGUAGAGGGUGGUGGAAUUUCCUGUGUAGCGGUGAAAUGCGUAGAUAUAGGAAGGAACACCAGUGGCGAAGGCGACCACCUGGACUGAUACUGACACUGAGGUGCGAAAGCGUGGGGAGCAA
Molecule: ribosomal RNA, 421 nt
Filed under: uncultured bacterium
Lineage: Bacteria
Description: bacterial SSU rRNA
Rfam family: Bacterial small subunit ribosomal RNA
Source: RNAcentral